GAUGAACGCUGGCGGCGUGCCUAAUACAUGCAAGUCGAGCGAACAGACGAGGAGCUUGCUCCUCUGACGUUAUCGGCGGACGGGUGAGUAACACGUGGAUAACCUACCUAUAAGACUGGGAUAACUUCGGGAAGCCGGAGCUAAUACCGGAUAAUAUAUUGAACCGCAUGGUUCAAUAGUGAAAGACGGUUUUGCUGUCACUUAUAGAUGGAUCCGCGCCGCAUUAGCUAGUUGGUAAGGUAACGGCUUACCAAGGCGACGACGCGUAGCCGACCUGAGAGGGUGAUCGGCCACACUGGAACUGAGACACGGUCCAGACUCCUACGGGAGGCAGCAGUAGGGAAUCUUCCGCAAUGGGCGAAAGCCUGACGGAGCAACGCCGCGUGAGUGAUGAAGGUCUUCGGAUCGUAAAACUCUGUUAUUAGGGAAGAACUAAUGUGUAAGUAACUAUGCACGUCUUGACGGUACCUAAUCAGAAAGCCACGGCUAACUACGUG
RNAcentral lists this ribosomal RNA (497 nucleotides) under uncultured bacterium. RNAcentral's name for it is "partial 16S ribosomal RNA". It matches the Rfam family "Bacterial small subunit ribosomal RNA", at positions 28 to 507 of the family's 1533-position model. The record is from RNAcentral.